UCAAUUGAGCAUCCUGUUGCGCUAACAGUUUCUAUUUGAUUUUGCCCUUAUCACAUCGCAUCGGCUAAUAAUUCCUAACUUCUCUCGCUCUAACGUGCAUUGCAGAAGAAGGAUGGAAACGAGAAUAAGCGAGUUUUGUCUAGUAUUGAUGCUGAUGAAAAUGGAUCCAGGAAAAGAACAACAUUCGCGUCUCAGGGGAACAAGCCAUGACCUAGACGCCAACCAAGCGAUCUUGGCAAUUUUUAAAAAUCUUCAAAGACAAGUAAGGAAAGACACCUCUGUCAGCCUCUUUAAGGAAUACCCGACAUGAUUUCUAAGAGACGUUGUUAAACUAACGACAUUCCAGGACUAUCCACCUAGAGUGAUCUGUGAUUUUAAUACAAAGAGGCCAACGACCGAAGUCAAUCUUCGCCUUUGAGAUGUCUCUAAGCAACAGAACCGAUCUAACAUCGAUUAAGAAACACGAUACGACACUUCGAUUUUUCAAACCAUCAUAGUGUUUUACUUUCCUUAAAUCCCAGUACAAUAGACCGCGAAAAUGCCGGAAAGUGUAGAUGUAUUCGCCGGCCAAAAUGCUGAGAAGUACGAGGCCAGAGAAGGAAGAGAGCACCUGCCGAUGGAGCAGCUUGUCAUGAGGAGCCAACUCUGGAUUUCCAACCUCCUUAGGGAGACUACUGCCAUUAGAAGACACGUGCUUCAACAAAUCUCCCAGCCCAGAUAUGAGUAAGUCAGUUUCACAUAACACUUGCCUUUGCUACUGUGUGGUCAGAACUGACAAAUGUUUGUUGAACUUAAUUCCAGAGAGCAAGACCAUUCGACCAGUACCUACGCAGCAUUGAUGACAAUUUCUGUUUGCUUAUAAAUCUCACCUACUCAAAAAGCUAAGCCCAAUAUAACGUCAUACACAAUGUUAACCACUUUCUCUGAUAUUUUUUCAGGGCCCAACAUCACGUCUCUACUUCA
Molecule: long non-coding RNA, 963 nt
Organism: Pocillopora damicornis (cauliflower coral)
Lineage: Eukaryota; Metazoa; Cnidaria; Anthozoa; Scleractinia; Pocilloporidae
Source: RefSeq, a predicted model, not a curated record